Molecule: ribosomal RNA, 460 nt
Filed under: uncultured bacterium
Lineage: Bacteria
Description: partial 16S ribosomal RNA
Rfam family: Bacterial small subunit ribosomal RNA
Source: RNAcentral
CCUACGGGAGGCAGCAGUGAGGAAUAUUGGUCAAUGGGCUUACGCCUGAACCAGCCAAGUCGCGUGAGGGAAGACUGCCCUAUGGGUUGUAAACCUCUUUUGUCAGGGAGCAACGCCGGCUACGUGUAGCCGGACUGAGAGUACCUGAAGAAAAAGCAUCGGCUAACUCCGUGCCAGCAGCCGCGGUAAUACGGAGGAUGCGAGCGUUAUCCGGAUUGAUUGGGUUUAGAGGGUGCGUAGGCGGAAUGCCAAGUCAGCGGUAAAAUCGCGGGGCUCAACCUCGCUCCGCCGUUGAAACUGGCGUUCUUGAGUGGGCGAGAAGUAUGCGGAAUGCGUGGUGUAGCGGUGAAAUGCAUAGAUAUCACGCAGAACUCCGAUUGCGAAGGCAGCAUACCGGCGCCCAACUGACGCUGAAGCACGAAAGCGUGGGUAUCGAACAGGAUUAGAUACCCUUGUAGUC